RNAcentral lists this long non-coding RNA (850 nucleotides) under Malus domestica (apple). RNAcentral describes it as "long non-coding RNA (MDOM_LNC005152)". The record is from RNAcentral. Lineage: Eukaryota; Viridiplantae; Streptophyta; Magnoliopsida; Rosales; Rosaceae.
UUGGGAACUUGGAGAACCAUAUUCUUCCAUCCAAAUCCAUGGAUCUAAGAAGCAAGGAAUGAAGGCCCUAUCUCUUUGGGUGAUUAGCCUUUGCUUAUGCAAAGAGGAAUCUACAAAGGUAUAUUUAUCAACUCACUUUGUUUUUGAGUUGAUUCUUGGUUCACCAAUCUACUAGGCUUUGAAUUUCAUGGGUAAUGUUUUGUUUUUAAGUGCAUGCAAGCAUGAUUCCGCCUUUAAUUGUUAAUUCAUGCUUAUAGAUGUUGCUUAAAUGAACAUGUUUUCACAAAAUAAUCCUUCAAUUGGUAUCAGAGCCUAGGUCUAGUAGUUGGUGAAUCCUUUUGGGUUUUGUAGUUCAUAGUUUGUGAUUUAAAAGUUGUAAUUGUUACAAGCUUUAUUCUUGCUUCUUUGAAUGUAAAUUUUGUUGGAAAAUUUGCCAUCUCAAAUGUUGUAGAUGUUGUUCAUAUGAGCAUGAAUAUUGGAGCUAAAACAUGUAUAAUUUUCCCAGAAAUAGAAUAUAUAUAUAUAUAUAUAUAUAUAUAUUCAAAUCAUGCUUCACUUAACCACAAACAUAAGUAUGUCAUGCCAAAUAUAGAAUAUAAUAAGUAACUCAGGUGAAGAUAAGUUCAUGGGAAUAACAUAUUAGCCGGAACCUCUGUAGAGGUUUAUACGGCUGAAUUCAUGGCUCAUCAAUCAAUCUAGCCGGAGUCACUGCACAUGACUUAUACGGCACUGCACUGCACACGAGUUGGAACCACUGUAAUGGUCUGUACGACAAGACUGGGUGUAAUAUAGUUAUACUCAAUGCUACGCUCUCGUAUAAGCUGUGCGAUAAAUCGAUGGUCACCUACGA